AUGAUGAGCUCGUUGGCGGCAGACGCGCAGGAGGACGGGACCGAGGCCCGGUCGACCUCGUCGAGCCCCUCGUCGCGGAGGAUGCGGACGAGCCAGAAUGUUGUCCCCGCAGCCUCCCCAAGAUUACAUGUCCUCUCGCGCCACUAUGGCCUCAUCGAGCUCCCGCUCGCGCCGUGGCCCCCCGCCUCACCUACUAGAUCGGGUGGGUGGCCCCCGUUUACGCUCAAGGAGAUGGAAAUGACGCCAGAUCCUGCCAUCGACGCCUUCAACGUGCGCCAAUGUGUCAUCUCCUCUCUCCCGAGCAGCGGCAGCAGCGUCACCAAGCUCGACAAUGCUACAAUGGAUGUGGAUCUUGAGUUCAAGGUCACGAGAGCAGCUGAGAGCUACUCCAAAUAUGGUUGCUGCCGUCUGGGCCGCUUGAUAAAGAGGAGAAGUCGUUGCUGCCUUACUCCUCACCUGCCUGACGCUGCCCCUCUCCAGUUAGCUGCUAGCAUAGAGAUCAUGAGGAAGAAAGAGGAGAGGUGGAAAGAUGGAGAAGAGAGGAGGUUGGAAGAAGAAGAUAUAGUCUUUGACAUGUGUUUUCCAGGUGGGUCUCACUUCAUUUUUCUGACUUGAAGUGCCACAA
This 625-nucleotide long non-coding RNA is filed under the name Oryza sativa Indica Group (long-grained rice). RNAcentral's name for it is "lncRNA OsMH63_03G027590". The record is from RNAcentral. Lineage: Eukaryota; Viridiplantae; Streptophyta; Magnoliopsida; Poales; Poaceae.